UACUCCCUCGUUUUCAUGCCAGUAUAACGUUUUGUACUGUAGGUCUGCUCCUAAGAAAAUUAGAAUCAGGCAUUUGAGGAAUCAGUCAUGUAACUGUAGGUGAAAUACAUGAAAGAGACAUUAAUGCUUAUCCUGAAGUUCACAUUGUUCUUAUGUCUGCUACUAUUGAUACCAACAUGUUCUGUGAAUAUUUCUUCAAUUGCCCCAUCAUUGAAGUUUAUGGGAGGACUUAACCAAUUGAAGAAUAUUUUCUGGAAGACUGCAUUCGGAUGACCCACUUUGUUCCUCCACCAAAAGACAAGAAGAAGAAGGAUAAGGAUGAUGAUGGUGGUGAGGAUGAUUAUGAAAAUUGCAACUUGAUCUGUGGUGAUGAAUAUGGUCCAGAAACAAGGUUGAGCAGGUCUCAAUUGAACGAAAAGGAAACUCCCUUUUAAUUCAUCAAAGCUCUACUUAAGUACAUUGAAACUCUUAACGUUUCCGGAGCUGUUGUUUUGUUUUGUUUUGUUUUGUUUUGUUUUUUUGCCUGUCUGGAAUUUGAUUUAUACUGUGAAGAAGCAUUUGGAAAUGAAUCCACAUUUUGAUUCCUCCAGAGCAACAGCGCAAAGUGU
Homo sapiens (human) is the source of this 608-nucleotide RNA transcript. It is a transcript of the gene named DExH-box helicase 9 pseudogene, with no coding region annotated. The record is from RefSeq and is marked validated. The transcript is spliced from 6 exons. Lineage: Eukaryota; Metazoa; Chordata; Mammalia; Primates; Hominidae.